This 588-nucleotide long non-coding RNA is filed under the name Nicotiana benthamiana. RNAcentral describes it as "long non-coding RNA (NBEN_LNC008781)". Lineage: Eukaryota; Viridiplantae; Streptophyta; Magnoliopsida; Solanales; Solanaceae. The record is from RNAcentral.
CUGUUAAAGAUAAACAUUAGCAUCAUAACUUAAAAUUUUGAUCAUUCCAAUAUUAAGUAAAGCGAUUUAACAAUGCUUAUUCUAUUUGCAGAGAUGUUAUAUAGAGAAUUUCUAACCAACCCCAACUAGUUCAGGAUCAAUGCACAAUUAUUGUAAAGAUUAAAACUUUAUCACCUGUUCAGCUAAGUCCAUGUAUUCAAUAGUGAGCAAUCGAGCAACAAAACAUGAAACUGCUCCAUAAUGCACAACAGCAGCACAAGAAGAUGGUAAAACAUCAACCAAAUGAGUUAGCGCCCUAGCUGCAAGAAGCAUAGUGUCAGGAUUACUACUUCCACCAUGAUUAUUAAGCAACCCAACAAGCACAGGUACAAAAGAGUCCACUGAAAAAGUGCUCAAAGAUAUCAGGACUACUACUUCCACCAUGAUUACUAAGCAACCCAACAAGCACAGGUACAAAAGAGUCCACCGAAAAAGUGCUCAAAGAGUCUUCUGUUCCAAUAGAAAGCAUCACACACAACUGUGUCAAUGCCUCUAUUUGUUUCCCUUCUUCCCCAUCAGCUCUUAAACCCGAUAAUAUCUUCUUCAGCC